CACGUAGGGCGCGAGCGUUGUCCGGAAUUAUUGGGCGUAAAGAGCUCGUAGGCGGCCUGUCGCGUCCGCUGUGAAAGCCCGGGGCUUAACCCCGGGUCGGCAGUGGAUACGGGCAGGCUAGAGGUAGGUAGGGGAGAAUGGAAUUCCCGGUGUAGCGGUGAAAUGCGCAGAUAUCGGGAGGAACACCGGUGGCGAAGGCGGUUCUCUGGGCCUUACCUGACGCUGAGGAGCGAAAGCGUGGGGAGCGAACAGG
RNAcentral lists this ribosomal RNA (253 nucleotides) under uncultured bacterium. RNAcentral's name for it is "partial 16S ribosomal RNA". It matches the Rfam family "Bacterial small subunit ribosomal RNA", at positions 524 to 776 of the family's 1533-position model. The record is from RNAcentral.